UGGGGAAUAUUGGACAAUGGGCGCAAGCCUGAUCCAGCCAUGCCGCGUGUGUGAAGAAGGCCUUCGGGUUGUAAAGCACUUUUGUCCGGGAAGAAAUCUUCCGAGCCAAUACCUCGGGAGGAUGACGGUACCGGAAGAAUAAGCACCGGCUAACUUCGUGCCAGCAGCCGCGGUAAUACGAAGGGUGCAAGCGUUACUCGGAAUUACUGGGCGUAAAGCGUGCGUAGGUGGUUCGUUAAGUCUGCCGUGAAAGCCCCGGGCUCAACCUGGGAAUGGCGGUGGAUACUGGCGGACUAGAGUGCGGUAGAGGGUGGUGGAAUUCCCGGUGUAGCAGUGAAAUGCGUAGAGAUCGGGAGGAACAUCUGUGGCGAAGGCGGCCACCUGGACCAGCACUGACACUGAGGCACGAAAGCGUGGGGAGCAAACA
This 427-nucleotide ribosomal RNA is filed under the name uncultured Arenimonas sp. Its description in RNAcentral is "bacterial SSU rRNA". It matches the Rfam family "Bacterial small subunit ribosomal RNA", at positions 355 to 774 of the family's 1533-position model. The record is from RNAcentral. Lineage: Bacteria; Pseudomonadati; Pseudomonadota; Gammaproteobacteria; Lysobacterales; Lysobacteraceae.